AGUGCCCUAAGGAAUGAGCGGUAACUGGGAUGAAGUCGUAACAAGGUAGCCGUAGGGGAACCUGCGGCUGGAUCACCUCCUUUCUAAGGAGCAAGU
RNAcentral lists this ribosomal RNA (96 nucleotides) under Chitinophagaceae bacterium. Its description in RNAcentral is "partial 16S ribosomal RNA". The stretch from base 1 to 83 matches the Rfam family "Bacterial small subunit ribosomal RNA", at positions 1451 to 1533 of the family's 1533-position model. Lineage: Bacteria; Pseudomonadati; Bacteroidota; Chitinophagia; Chitinophagales; Chitinophagaceae. The record is from RNAcentral.